UUCUAUUUGUUAUUCUUAAUAGUAUGACCUGCUCAAUGGAUUUCUUAAUAGCUGCAGAUUUCUGUACUAAGGUAGCAUAAUCAUUUGCCUUUUAAUUGUAGGCUAGAAUAAAAGGUUCAACAUAUAAAUUUCUUUAUUGUUAUGAUUAUUUUAAAUUUAUUUAUAAGUAAAAACCCUUAUAUUGAAUAAGGGGACGACAAGACCCUAUCGAGCUUUACUUUAGUUUUACUGGGGUGGUAAAAAACUAUAUCUUUUUCUCUUGUUCUUGAAAUCUCUUUCUAAGAAUUUUUCAAUCAAGUUACCGUAGGGAUAACAGCAUAAUUUUCUUUUAGAGAUCUUAUCAACAAGAAAGUUUAUGACCUCGAUGUUGAAUAUUUAUCUUUAUAGAGUAACAUCUAUAAAAGAAAGUCUGUUCGACUUUUGAAACUUUACA
Molecule: ribosomal RNA, 433 nt
Filed under: Idiosoma manstridgei
Lineage: Eukaryota; Metazoa; Arthropoda; Arachnida; Araneae; Idiopidae
Description: partial 16S ribosomal RNA
Rfam family: Archaeal large subunit ribosomal RNA
Source: RNAcentral